Molecule: ribosomal RNA, 945 nt
Filed under: Triticum aestivum (bread wheat)
Lineage: Eukaryota; Viridiplantae; Streptophyta; Magnoliopsida; Poales; Poaceae
Description: partial small subunit ribosomal RNA
Source: RNAcentral
AUGUUUGUUCCUUCGAUUCAAGAGAAGGUACCCUGGAGUUCUUCAAAUUCUUCUGUUUACGCACGAAUAGGGGCCCUCGAUAUUGGUGGCAGCGCUAGCGGCCAGCCCUCAAUCGCGACGGCGUCAGAUGACGCCGGAAGCGAACUUCUUCCUCUGUCUGAUCCGUGGCAAAUGGCCGCCGGUCGUCGCUUCGGCCGUCGCACCGCUGGACGGGGUCACAGCGCCGCUGGAAGAGGCGCGCGUGGCGAUCAGCACGCCCAUGGACGCGGCCACUGCGACGCAGGACGCGCCUCCCGUGGUGCUCACCACGCCCCUGGGGACGGCCUUGCCGCCGCUGGAUGUGCACAGCCGGUGAGCAUGGGGUUCGACCCCUGGCUUGUGGCCAGCCCCCGGGCUCCGCCUCCACCCCUCGAGCGUCGUUCGUUUUGGGGCAGAGAUGGAGAAUUCCGACUCCACCGGUCGGCCGUGGCUGGUGAUGGCCGCGGGAUCGAGCAGCCGCGCAGAUCUGCGCUUCGGCCGCCCCUUGGUCGCGCCGUCAGCCCUCAGCCCUCAUCUGCCUCCGCCAGAGUGCAGGCUCCGUUGUCGUUGUCUCCUCUUCUGACGAGGAGGCUUCGUCGGGGCACGCCGGUGAUCGCCGGAGAUGCGUGGGGGCGCCGCGGCCAAGACCACUGCCGGCGGCACCGAUGCAAGGUGUGGAUCGGGUUUGGUUGGGAUCGAUCGAUCCCCAACCCUAACCGCCUCCUUUUACUCGGUGCGGCGGCCGUUGGGCCACCAAAGGCCGUGGAGGCCCAGGCCCAGGCACCUGGGGCGACCUCCGGCUGCCCCUUCCCCCUCCGCUCGGCCGUGGACCGAAAUUCAUUUUUUCUCUCUCUGUUUUUAUUAACAGUAUACUAUUUACUAGUAUUUCAUGUCUUAGACCCUGUUAAUUACUGCAUUUUCUGUUGA